UUUUGAUAGAACCAAGAUCAGAUGCAUGCGACAUACAAUAGUAUGGCUAGGUGCGCCAACCUGAGCCUGAUGGUAAAAAAUACAUCUAAUGGUAUAUAAAAAACUUGAAUAACGAUAAAAUUUCAAGAUCCAAUAUCUGAAUGUGCGCACCUAAUCAAACCCAAUCUGGCCGCAAGACCUUUUCUACAUGUGUAGUUUCUUUGUUUUUAUUAUUAUUAAUAUUCAUAAUGAAUUUGGAG
This 239-nucleotide long non-coding RNA is filed under the name Zostera marina. RNAcentral describes it as "long non-coding RNA (ZMAR_LNC000864)". Lineage: Eukaryota; Viridiplantae; Streptophyta; Magnoliopsida; Alismatales; Zosteraceae. The record is from RNAcentral.